This 257-nucleotide ribosomal RNA is filed under the name uncultured prokaryote. Its description in RNAcentral is "partial 16S ribosomal RNA". It matches the Rfam family "Bacterial small subunit ribosomal RNA", at positions 524 to 780 of the family's 1533-position model. The record is from RNAcentral.
UACGGAGGAUGCGAGCGUUAUCCGGAUUUAUUGGGUUUAAAGGGUGCGUAGGCGGGCUAUUAAGUCAGUGGUGAAAUCCUGCAGCUUAACUGCAGAACUGCCGUUGAUACUGAUAGUCUUGAGUUUGGUUAAGGUAGGCGGAAUGUGUAAUGUAGCGGUGAAAUGCUUAGAUAUUACACAGAACACCAAUUGCGUAGGCAGCUUACUGAGCCGACACUGACGCUGAGGCACGAAAGCGUGGGGAUCAAACAGGAUUA